CCCUGGCGUUGCAAACCCUGUUUACCAAGGAAAUUCUUUUAGUACUGUACCUCAUUGUGUUUCAUCUAUGGACUAUUGUGUGCCAGUCCAUCUUUCACUAACCUCCUUGUUGUGAGCCAGACGGAUCUCAAGUGACACAGGUGUGCUCUCUGUCUUCCUCCAUCAGGUCUUAAACAGUUGGUGCUGAUCGGGCUAUCAAUGGGGGUGGUGGUGUGUGUGGCUGUGUGUGUGGCCGCAGCUCUGGUUCUUACCUUCAGAAGGAGGGUGUAUUCUGUUUCAGGAAAUCAGAUGCCAAUCAACCCAGGAAAUAUGGUGCAAGCAAACAACAGGGACACCUAUCUGCUGCCUUUGAUACCGUGAACCAUCAGAUCCUCCUCUCCACCCUCUCCG
This is a non-coding RNA of Salmo salar (Atlantic salmon), 390 nucleotides long. The record is from RefSeq and is a predicted model, not a curated record. NCBI's taxonomy places the organism in Eukaryota, Metazoa, Chordata, Actinopteri, Salmoniformes, Salmonidae.